CGGACGGGUGAGUAAUGUCUGGGAAACUGCCUGAUGGAGGGGGAUAACUACUGGAAACGGUAGCUAAUACCGCAUAACGUCGCAAGACCAAAGAGGGGGACCUUCGGGCCUCUUGCCAUCGGAUGUGCCCAGAUGGGAUUAGCUAGUAGGUGGGGUAACGGCUCACCUAGGCGACGAUCCCUAGCUGGUCUGAGAGGACGGCCAGCCACACUGGAACUGAGACACGGUCCAG
Molecule: ribosomal RNA, 232 nt
Filed under: uncultured bacterium
Lineage: Bacteria
Description: partial 16S ribosomal RNA
Rfam family: Bacterial small subunit ribosomal RNA
Source: RNAcentral